AUUCUUCUACCACAAUGCUUAUAGAUGGUUUCCUGCAUAUGGGUUAGUUAAUAUCUUGUUCUGAAGGAGCAAAAAAGCCAUAUACUAAAAUACUACUAAAUCAUCAGACUGCAUCCUAUCGACAUGCUUACAGAAGUGGACGUCCGAAGGUUAUGCUAGUACUUUAUGAGAAGAGGAGAGCUGAAUGAUGGACAUGAUCAGAUUAGAUUUAAGAUUUCAUCCUUCUGGAUCAACUCAUUUAGAGGAAUCUGCUCUGGAUUUGGAUCACAAUUACAGUGGUCAUCCUAAUUUGCCCUCAUCCAGUCCUUCUCCUCUCCAGCCUUUUGCUUCAGCUGGUCAGCACUCUGAGAGUAAUGCCGCCUACUUCUCAUGGCCAACUUCAAGUCGAUUAAUUGAUGCAGCGGAAGAUAGGGCCAAUUAUUUUGGAAACUUGCAGAAAGGUGUU
Molecule: long non-coding RNA, 445 nt
Organism: Humulus lupulus (European hop)
Lineage: Eukaryota; Viridiplantae; Streptophyta; Magnoliopsida; Rosales; Cannabaceae
Exons: 3
Source: RefSeq, a predicted model, not a curated record